GACGAACGCUGGCGGCGUGCUUAACACAUGCAAGUCGAACGGAAAGGCCCCCUUGUGGGGUACUCGAGUGGCGAACGGGUGAGUAACACGUGAGUAACCUACCCUUGACUUUGGGAUAACUUCAGGAAACUGGGGCUAAUACCGGAUAGGAGCUCCUGCUGCAUGGUGGGGGUUGGAAAGUUUCGGCGGUUGGGGAUGGACUCGCGGCUUAUCAGCUUGUUGGUGGGGUAGUGGCUCACCAAGGCUUUGACGGGUAGCCGGCCUGAGAGGGUGACCGGCCACAUUGGGACUGAGAUACGGCCCAGACUCCUACGGGAGGCAGCAGUGGGGAAUAUUGCACAAUGGGCGGAAGCCUGAUGCAGCAACGCCGCGUGCGGGAUGACGGCCUUCGGGUUGUAAACCGCUUUCGCCUGUGACGAAGCGUGAGUGACGGUAAUGGGUAAGGAAGCACCGGCUAACUACGUG
Molecule: ribosomal RNA, 465 nt
Filed under: uncultured bacterium
Lineage: Bacteria
Description: partial 16S ribosomal RNA
Rfam family: Bacterial small subunit ribosomal RNA
Source: RNAcentral